UGGGGAAUUUUGGACAAUGGGGGCAACCCUGAUCCAGCCAUCCCGCGUGUGCGAUGAAGGCCUUCGGGUUGUAAAGCACUUUUGGCAGGGAAGAAACAGCCUGGGCUAAUAUCCCGGGCGACUGACGGUACCUGCAGAAUAAGCACCGGCUAACUACGUGCCAGCAGCCGCGGUAAUACGUAGGGUGCAAGCGUUAAUCGGAAUUACUGGGCGUAAAGCGUGCGCAGGCGGUUCGGAAAGAAAGGUGUGAAAUCCCAGGGCUUAACCUUGGAACUGCACUUUUAACUACCGGGCUAGAGUACGUUAGAGGGGGGUAGAAUUCCACGUGUAGCAGUGAAAUGCGUAGAGAUGUGGAGGAAUACCGAUGGCGAAGGCAGCCCCCUGGGAUGAUACUGACGCUCAUGCACGAAAGCGUGGGGAGCAAACA
This 427-nucleotide ribosomal RNA is filed under the name uncultured bacterium. RNAcentral describes it as "bacterial SSU rRNA". It matches the Rfam family "Bacterial small subunit ribosomal RNA", at positions 355 to 774 of the family's 1533-position model. The record is from RNAcentral.